This 519-nucleotide ribosomal RNA is filed under the name Salmonella enterica. Its description in RNAcentral is "partial 23S ribosomal RNA". It matches the Rfam family "Bacterial large subunit ribosomal RNA", at positions 1025 to 1547 of the family's 2925-position model. The record is from RNAcentral. Lineage: Bacteria; Pseudomonadati; Pseudomonadota; Gammaproteobacteria; Enterobacterales; Enterobacteriaceae.
ACCCAGACCGCCAGCUAAGGUCCCAAAGUCAUAGUUAAGUGGGAAACGAUGUGGGAAGGCCCAGACAGCCAGGAUGUUGGCUUAGAAGCAGCCAUCAUUUAAAGAAAGCGUAAUAGCUCACUGGUCGAGUCGGCCUGCGCGGAAGAUGUAACGGGGCUAAACUAUGCACCGAAGCUGCGGCAGCGACACUAUGUGUUGUUGGGUAGGGGAGCGUUCUGUAAGCCUGUGAAGGUGUGUCGUGAGGCAUGCUGGAGGUAUCAGAAGUGCGAAUGCUGACAUAAGUAACGAUAAAGCGGGUGAAAAGCCCGCUCGCCGGAAGACCAAGGGUUCCUGUCCAACGUUAAUCGGGGCAGGGUGAGUCGACCCCUAAGGCGAGGCCGAAAGGCGUAGUCGAUGGGAAACGGGUUAAUAUUCCCGUACUUGGUGUUACUGCGAAGGGGGGACGGAGAAGGCUAUGUUGGCCGGGCGACGGUUGUCCCGGUUUAAGCGUGUAGGUGUGUGUUCCAGGUAAAUCCGGUU